AUCUACUUGAAAGUUCAUAUGCGUGAUUUGAAUGCAACCAAUCAAAACGAUUCAAGUCCUACUAAUCGACGACAACCCACGAUCGAAGUUUGACUACGUCAGUCUUAAUUCUUAAGGAACGACUAGGCAGGCCGGGCAAGAGAACCACUGAAGAGUCUGAAUUCCAUCGCCACCACCACCUCCUCGACGUCGGACUCCGAGAAAUCCAUCGCCUUUAAUGCUAUUCUCGGAAGUUUGGAAUAUCCGUUUUCUUCCGCCUAUCAUUUUCCUUCCCGUAGAUUUCCUCCUCCUUAAUCUACCUCCUUGAUUAUUCCUCAUAAAUUAUGCGAAGCUCUUGCCCCCGACGAUAUUUUGACCCGAUUUGUUCUCUUUCAAGUUUUGACAUCGCCGAUGAAGUUCUCUUCGGUGCUUCUUCUGAUUUGUUUUUUAGCAUCGAUUUUCAUUUUUUCUGGGUUCGCUGCCGAUUCUUUGGACGCGUACAAAAGCAUAACUGGGAGAAAAAAUUUGAAUGGGUUAAAUCCACCCCGGACCCCGGGCAAACGGUCUCUGUUGUCUGAUUCCAAGUCAGUUUCUCUGCUAACUUUUUAUUGUCUCUAUUGUCUGAUUCCAAGAAUUCUUGGACUCUCUCGGCCCGGCGGUGAAAGCGUCCCCACGCAUCCAAUUUUGUAAAGAAAGAGGCCUCAUCUCAUCCUCCUCUCACAGCCACAGCCAUAGCCAUAGCCAGCAGAUUUGUGAAAAUCGAGAAAAGCACAAACCACCAAACAGUUUCUGUCAUUCAGUUGCUUUACGAAGUAGUCCUAAUAAAUGGAUGGAUGAAUUUGUUGGAUGGAGAUUUUUGUUGCUCUAACUUGAGGAUGAUGCAGAAGAAAUUAGCCAAAAAGUGAGCAGCUCACAUCCAAAGAGCAAGAAAGGAAUCUAGAACAGAGAGGUGGGAAUAAACUACCAAACAAUUGUGGCCUUAAAAAACCCUCAAACCAAGUUAAAUUAUAAUGUUUGAUUGUUGGACUGCAUAAUUGGUUUUAAGUGUGCAAAUCUAAGCUCUCUUACAAGGGUAUAGGAGUUAGUAUCUUUUAUUUGGAAUCACAAGUAGAAAGCAUAUUUACAUGCGUAUCUUUUAUUUGGAAUCACAAGUUGAUAUCCUAUUUACAGGCUCAAAAAUAAUUUUGGACGCUUUUGGCA
Coffea arabica (coffee) is the source of this 1179-nucleotide long non-coding RNA. RefSeq lists it as uncharacterized. NCBI's taxonomy places the organism in Eukaryota, Viridiplantae, Streptophyta, Magnoliopsida, Gentianales, Rubiaceae. The record is from RefSeq and is a predicted model, not a curated record.